CCUUCCGCUCCGGCGCUCGGGAAACGUCACUGUGCGUGACGGCGCGCGAGCCGCCAUUUGUUCUGCGCGCGCGCCGCCGCGCGUGGGUACCGCGCAUGCGCCGUGAGCCGAGCGGGCAAGGCGGGUACCGCGUCCAGCUCUGGCUGUGCAGAUUAAUGUAAUGAUGUAAGGUGUGUCAGAUGGCUUCCUUCUGCAGGCAGAGAACACCUCUGCAGCCGCUGUUAGCGCAGGCCUCCGGAGGUGCCUCACUGAAGGGACGUUCUCAUUUUGUGGUGUGGAAGAGAAUCCACAUUAACAGGCAGUUACAAAUAACGGCUGUGACGGAGGAGCAAAACCUUUCCCAACAGCAGCAGUGCAUGUGGGUAGUGUGCACUCAGCAAGGAGAUGCAGCAUACCUGAAGUCUUGGAGCAGUGCUUUUAGGUAACAUUGCUGUUCUCUUGUCUCUCAUAUCUUUGUGCUAACCAUAUUUACAUUAAUUUUGUGUUCUUUUCCUUCGUGUUAUAAAGCCUCUUUUGUGUUUCUAACCACUCAUAAUUCCACAAAAUCUGGGUUUUAAGCUUGUAUGCCCCAAGACCCAAACAAAACAAGCGUUAGAUGGCUGUUUUUUCUUUGUCGUGUUUGCAGUGGUUUGUUGUUUAGUUUCAUUGGUUUCAUUUUAAACUGGAAAAUGGUACUCUAAAAUGUGGCACUCCACCCACUGACUGCAUACAAAAGGUUUUAAAUUAACAGGAGAGUUAACAUUCUUCCAAACCUCAGUGCAGAACAUAUAUAAUUAUGCUAAAUCGUUGUUGGAAGCUAUUUUGACAGGAAAUGUUGUCUGCCGUCUGAGAUUUCGCUAUAUGUAUAUACUUCAGGCAUGUCAGCUUUGUUAAAGUCUCUUAAACUGCAGCAUUAUUAAUAGCAGUAGAAUGAGCUGCCGUAGCCCACUUUAAUGCACUGUAAGUGUGGCAGUGGACGGAUGUUCCCUCCACCUUGCCUCCAGCUUUGUAUGGAGCUCCAGUUGUCCUGUGUCUCAGUACUGACAUUUGUCAAGUUGAACCGCUUGUCUUUAAACCUACACAACUAUUCCAGGG
RNAcentral lists this long non-coding RNA (1074 nucleotides) under Gallus gallus (chicken). RNAcentral's name for it is "long non-coding RNA NONGGAT002534". Lineage: Eukaryota; Metazoa; Chordata; Aves; Galliformes; Phasianidae. The record is from RNAcentral.